RNAcentral lists this non-coding RNA (48 nucleotides) under unclassified sequences. RNAcentral describes it as "Na+-I sequence". It matches the Rfam family "Na+ riboswitch aptamer (DUF1646)". From Rfam's summary of the family: Proteobacteria, NC10, Acidobacteria, Verrucomicrobia. The record is from Rfam by way of RNAcentral.
GGUUGGGCAGGAAACUGCUUCAAGUCUGAGCUUUAAGGGUGGGAAGCU